RNAcentral lists this ribosomal RNA (498 nucleotides) under uncultured bacterium. RNAcentral describes it as "partial 16S ribosomal RNA". It matches the Rfam family "Bacterial small subunit ribosomal RNA", at positions 29 to 507 of the family's 1533-position model. The record is from RNAcentral.
AACGAACGCUGGAGGCGUGCCUAAUAACUGCAAGUCGACCGAGAGCGACCGGUGCUUGCACUGGUCAAUCUGGUGGCGAACGGGUGAGUAACACGAGGGUAACCUGCCCAUCAGAGGGGGAUACUAUUAGGAAACGGAUGCUAAAACCGCAUCGGUGUUCGACCCGCAUGGGUUGAAGAGGUAAAGCGGCGCCAGCUUCUGCUCAUGGAUGGACCCGCGGUGCAUUAGCUAGUUGGUGAGGUAACGGCUCACCAAGGCCGUGAUGCAAAGCCGACCUGAGAGGGUGAUCGGCCAUAUUGGGACUGAGACACGGCCCAGACUCCUACGGGAGGCAGCAGUAGGGAAUCUUCCGCAAUGGACGCAAGUCUGACGGAGCAACGCCGCGUGAGUGAAGAAGGUUUUCGGAUCGUAAAACUCUGUUGUUAGAGAAGAAUAAGUGCUAGAGUAACUGUUAGCGCCUUGGCGGUAGCUAACCAGAAAGCCACGGCUAACUACGUG